RNAcentral lists this non-coding RNA (836 nucleotides) under Myotis lucifugus (little brown bat). RNAcentral describes it as "Eukaryotic large subunit ribosomal RNA". It matches the Rfam family "Eukaryotic large subunit ribosomal RNA", at positions 1891 to 2388 of the family's 3401-position model. Lineage: Eukaryota; Metazoa; Chordata; Mammalia; Chiroptera; Vespertilionidae. The record is from Rfam by way of RNAcentral.
UGGAACAACCUAGGCAAGGGAAGUCGGCAAGCAGGAUCCGAAAUUUCGGAAUAAAGAUUGGCCCUAAGGGCUGAAUUGGUGGUGUUGGGACCCUUAGCGGGGCUGGGCACUCGCUUUGGCUGUAUGAGGCGUGCCGCCCCACCCCAAGCCCGGGUCCGCCCCCGCAGCCCUUCCCCUCUGGCACCCCGACCUCCAGCUUUCUCCUCCCCCUCCCACCUCGCUCUCCCUUCCCCAUCUCCCUCUGCGCCGGGGAGGGGGUCUGGGCGGCGCGUGGGGGGGGCGGCGCCCCAACCCCCUCCGCUUCGGGUCCUAGGGGAGGUCCCCCGCAGGGUCCGCGGGCCCGGACACCUGGGGGGUCGGCAGUGGAGGCAACUCUGGACACCAGCCGGGUCCUUCCUGUGGAUUGCCCCAGCUGCUGCGGGCCAGCCCUCAGGUGGGCGGUCCAGCCCAGGAUUUUGGCCCAGGCCGCGCACACAGGUCUUUCCUCCGCCUGGCCCGCCCCUGGGGCCUAGGUUCCGCGUGGUGCCUUGCCUCAGCCGGUGCCUAGCAGUCCACUUAGACCUGGUGCGGACCACGGGAAUCCGACUGUUUAAUUCAAACAAAGCAUCGCGAAGUUCUGCGAAGGAUGUUGACACCAUGUGAUUUCUGCCCAGUGCUCUGAAUGUCAAAGUGAAGAAAUUCAAUGAAGCGCGGGUAAAUGGCUAGAGUAACUAUGACUCUCUUAAGGUAGCCAAAUGCCUCGUCAUCUAAUUAGUGAUGCACAUGAAUGGAUGAAUGAGAUUCCCACUGUCCCUACCUACUAUCCAGCGAAACCACAGCCAAGGGAACCAUCUUGG